CGGCGGACGGGUGAGUAAUGUCUGGGAAACUGCCCGAUGGAGGGGGAUAACUACUGGAAACGGUAGCUAAUACCGCAUAACGUCGCAAGACCAAAGAGGGGGACCUUAGGGCCUCUUGCCAUCGGAUGUGCCCAGAUGGGAUUAGCUAGUAGGUGGGGUAACGGCUCACCUAGGCGACGAUCCCUAGCUGGUCUGAGAGGAUGAUCAGCCACACUGGGACUGAGACACGGCCCAG
RNAcentral lists this ribosomal RNA (235 nucleotides) under uncultured bacterium. RNAcentral's name for it is "partial 16S ribosomal RNA". It matches the Rfam family "Bacterial small subunit ribosomal RNA", at positions 96 to 334 of the family's 1533-position model. The record is from RNAcentral.